This is an RNA transcript of Manihot esculenta (cassava), 2094 nucleotides long. It is a transcript of the gene named protein MOS2, with no coding region annotated. Lineage: Eukaryota; Viridiplantae; Streptophyta; Magnoliopsida; Malpighiales; Euphorbiaceae. The record is from RefSeq and is a predicted model, not a curated record. The transcript is spliced from 3 exons.
UUCAUAGAAUUGCAGCAGCGGCGUGGAGGAAGACCAAAGCGUCGGUGUUGCAAUUUUCAUCCAAAAUUCUAGAGGCAAUGAAGCUCUCCUUCUCAAUCCCUAAAUCGGCCGCCAAAUCCACAUCUAAACCUAAACCUUCCUCUGAAUCCAAUACUGUUAGCCAAAACAGUGGCGCUGUAAAAGAAUAUGUCACUGAAUUUGAUCCCUCAAAAACCCUACCCAGUUCCAAUCGGAAUCUCAUCAUCCCCCCUAAAGAGAACGAAUGGACGCCUCACAAGCGUAUGAAGAACCUCGACCUCCUUCCCACUCUCAAAUCCGACAACGAAGGCCUUCGCUUCGAGAUCGCCACCGAUGGCCACGGCGAGGACGAUAAGAGUAUGUCCUACGGUCUCAAUAUACGGCAGCAAAGCAGCACUGACGGGGACAGUGGCGAUGGUGACGAAGGAGUCAAAUCUUACCAGAAAGUCGAAACUACUGAGAAUUUGUUGUUGGAGAAGUUGAAGUACGAUCUCCAGCGGUUGCCUGAGGAUCGAGGAUUUGAGGAGUUUAAGGAUGUACCGGUGGAAGGGUUUGGCGCGGCUUUACUGGCUGGCUAUGGUUGGCAUGAAGGCAGAGGUAUCGGAAGAAAUGCUAAGGAAGAUGUUAAAGUCAAGCAAUACCACAAAAGGACUGAUAAAGAAGGUUUGGGUUUUGUUCCUCCUGCUUCUAAUGCUACUAGUACUAGUGUUAAGGAUAGAGACGGGCAAGACGAGAGGAAAAGAGAAAGAGUUAAGGACGGACAUAGUGAUGGUUUCUUUGUUGGUAAAGAUGUCAGGGUUAUUGCCGGUGGAAAAGGCAUUUUGGGUUCAAAGGGUAGAAUUUCAAAGAGACUAGAUGAUGGUCGGGUUGUUGUCAAACUUUCAGAAACAACGGAGGAACUAAAACUGCGUGUUUCUGAUAUUGCUGAUUUGGGCUCUAAGGAAGAAGAGAAGUGCUUAAUGAAGUUAAAAACGUUACAGAUAGAAGGAAAGCAAUCAAAGGAUAGGGACAAUGGAAAGCGCAUUAUUGAACCAACUAGAGAAAGCGGAGAAAGUAUGAGGAGAGACAGCGGUCAAGCGAAGGAUGACAGAAAGCGAUGGCUCAGCAAUCACAUUCGGGUCAGAAUUAUAAGCAAGGACCUGAAAGGAGGCAGAUUUUAUUUGAAGAAGGGGGAGGUGGUAGAUGUGGUUGGACCUUAUGUAUGUGAUAUAUCGAUUGAUGAGACUAAGGAAUUGGUACAGGGAAUAGAUCAGGAUCUUCUUGAGACUGCUUUACCACGGCGUGGGGGUCCUGUCCUUGUUCUCUACGGGAGGCACAAGGGAGUAUAUGGGAAAUUGGUUCAGAGGGAUUUGGACCAAGAGACUGGGAUUGUGCAAGAUUCUGAUACUCAAGAAUUGCUCAAUGUCAAACUUGAACAAAUUGCAGAGUAUGUUGGAGAUCCCAGCUACAUUGGAUAUUGAUGCUCCUGCAUCUCCAGUCCAUGCUGCCAAUAGAUAUAUUUGAGGAGACCUGGACCAUGGCAUUUGUAGAGAAAACACAACAGCUUACUUGGUAUACUUGGGAUGAAUCCCCAACAACCUACAAGUCUCAAAGUGAUGUCUGGAAGGUCUGCUGGAUGCAAUAAUAUCUGGUACCGAUGAUCUUCCUCUAGCAUGAUCUAUCAGAUAACACCCUGCUCGCAUGAUUCAAAUAUGGUUACGAAGGGGGUUGUCAUCAUCGUUGAAGUUGAAGUGCUUGUCUGUCUUUUCUCUAGCGCUUCCAACAUCAACUCCCCUGUAGGCAGUAGUCAUGUUUAAUGAUGAAGAUAUGUAGUCAGUUCUUCAACUGUGAAAGGAAUAACUUCAGGAGGCUGGCUGUGGAACCUGUGAUGAGCCUGCUGAUUGCAGUCUUGUUCUGUUGAUGUAACUGUGAAAGCAGACAUAGAAUCCAUUCUUUGGCGUUUGUUACAUGCCCAGGAAUUUUAUGGGUAGUUAAAGUAACGUGCAAUGGGGGUGAAAAUUUACUUAACAUUAUAAUCCAAAUAACCUUGUAUGAUUUGCUCGCACUUGAAUUCUAUCCUAAAACUAACUUCUUUUC